CUACGGGAUGCAGCAGGCGCGAAACCUUUACAAUGCGGGAAACCGUGAUAAGGGAAUCCAAAGUGCUCAAGUUUACUUGGGCUUUUGCCAUGAGCAAAAAUCAUGGCGAAUAAGUGGUGGGUAAGACUGGUGCCAGCCGCCGCGGUAACACCAGCGCCACGAGUGGGAAUCAUGUUUAUUUGGCCUAAAGCGUCCGUAGCCGGUUCAGUAAAUCUUUUGUGAAAUCAUCAGGCUUAACCUGAUGGCGUGCAGAAGACACUGCUGAACUUGGAACCGGGAGGAGUCAGAGGUAUGGGAUGGGGAGCGGUAAAAUGCGAUAAUCCAUUCUAGACCACCUGUGGCGAAGGCGUCUGACUAGAACGGAUUCGACGGUGAGGGACGAAAGCCAGGGGAGCGAUCCGGAUUAGAUACCCCGGUAGUC
RNAcentral lists this ribosomal RNA (421 nucleotides) under uncultured archaeon. RNAcentral's name for it is "partial 16S ribosomal RNA". It matches the Rfam family "Archaeal small subunit ribosomal RNA", at positions 323 to 746 of the family's 1478-position model. The record is from RNAcentral.